RNAcentral lists this ribosomal RNA (468 nucleotides) under uncultured bacterium. Its description in RNAcentral is "partial 16S ribosomal RNA". It matches the Rfam family "Bacterial small subunit ribosomal RNA", at positions 28 to 507 of the family's 1533-position model. The record is from RNAcentral.
GACGAACGCUGGCGGCGUGCUUAACACAUGCAAGUCGAACGGAAAGGCGCUGCUUUUGUGGGGUGCUCGAGUGGCGAACGGGUGAGUAACACGUGAGUAACCUGCCCUUGACUUUGGGAUAACUUCAGGAAACUGGGGCUAAUACCGGAGAGGAGCUACUGCUGCAUGGGGGGGGUUGGAAAGUGUCGGUGGUUGGGGAUGGACUCGAGGGUUAUCAGCUGGAUUGGGGGGUAGUGGCUUACCAAGGCUUUGAAGGGUAGCCGGCCUGAGAGGGUGACCGGCCACAUUGGUACUGAGAUACGGCCCAGUAUCGUACGGGAGGCAGCAGUGGGGAACAUUGCACAAUGGCCGGAAGCGAGAUGUAGCAACGCUGCGUGCGGGAUGCCGGCCUUCGGGUUGUAAACCGCUUUCGACUGUGACGAAGCCUGAGUGACGGUAAUGGGUCAAGAAGCACCGGCUAACUACGUG